Molecule: microRNA precursor, 129 nt
Filed under: Marmota monax (woodchuck)
Lineage: Eukaryota; Metazoa; Chordata; Mammalia; Rodentia; Sciuridae
Source: RNAcentral
AUAAGAACCACCUGGGGGCCUUGUUAAAAACACCCAUUACUAAACCCUGACCCCCAAAGUUUCUAAUUCAGUAGUCCUGAGAUGGGCUCAAGGAAGUGCAUUUCUAGCAAGUUCCCAGGUGAUGUUGAU